This 301-nucleotide ribosomal RNA is filed under the name uncultured bacterium. RNAcentral describes it as "partial 16S ribosomal RNA". It matches the Rfam family "Bacterial small subunit ribosomal RNA", at positions 509 to 807 of the family's 1533-position model. The record is from RNAcentral.
CAGUAGCCGCGGGAAUACGUAGGGUGCGAGUGUUAAUCGGAAUUACUGGGCGUAAAGCGUGCGCAGGCGGUUGUGUAAGACAGGUGUGAAAUCCCCGGGCUUAACCUGGGAACUGCGCUUGUGACUGCACAGCUAGAGUAUGGCAGAGGGGGGUGGAAUUCCACGUGUAGCAGUGAAAUGCGUAGAGAUGUGGAGGAACACCGAUGGCGAAGGCAGCCCCCUGGGCCAAUACUGACGCUCAUGCACGAAAGCGUGGGGAGCAAACAGGAUUAGAUACCCCUGUAGUCCCUGUCUCUUAUAC